Molecule: long non-coding RNA, 121 nt
Organism: Agrilus planipennis (emerald ash borer)
Lineage: Eukaryota; Metazoa; Arthropoda; Insecta; Coleoptera; Buprestidae
Exons: 2
Source: RefSeq, a predicted model, not a curated record
UCAGCAUUUAGAAAUAAAUUGGAAGACCAAUCAGAAAGUGCAAAAUAUUUUCAGACAAGAAUAGGUCGAUAUAUCGUAAAAAAAUAUCGGCCAAACGCCACGUCUGAUGAAAUAAAGAGUG